ACAUAAUAGGGGGGAAAGAGGGUGGGGGAGGGAAAAAAUAAUUUAAAAUACAGGUUAAAAUGCAGCCUCAUUUUAAAGUAGCUGAUAAAUCAAAACCAUAAGGGGAGGGAAACAUAAGGGUCAGACCGAGUCCAAACCAAAGGCCAGGCAGAACAGCUCUGUCUUGCAGGCCCUGUGGAAAUAUGUCAAGUCCCGCAGGGCCCUAGUCUCUUGUGACAGAGCAUUCCACCACGUCGGGGCCAGUGCUGAAAAGGCCCUGGCCCUAGUUGAAACCAAUCUAACCUCCUUGAAGCUCGGACCUCCAAAAUGUUGUCAUUUGUGGACCUUAAGGUCCUCCGCAGGCCAUACCAGGAGAGGUGGUCCCGUAGGUACGUGGGUCCUAGGCCGCAUAGGGCUUUAAAGGUCAAAACCAGCACCUUAAACCUGACCCUGUACUCCACCGGGAGCCAGUGCAGCUGGUAUAGCACCGGGUGAAUGUAAUCCCGCGGCGAGGACCCCGUAAGGAGCCUCACUGCAGCAUUCUGCACCCGCUGGAGUUUCUGGGUCAGCUUCAAGGGCAGCCCCGCAUAGAUCGAGUUACAAUAAUCAGGCCUGGAGGUGACUGUGGCAUGGAUCAUUAAAGGAUGAGCAAGCGAUUCACAGUCCACAUUAAGCCGAGGUGUGCCCAGGCCGUGUGACUUAAUGCAGACUUCAUGGCUACGGCAUCUUAAGUGGUUCCUCACUGCCCUUUCCCUCCUGCCCUCUGCUCUGCUAAACUUCCAGCCUGAUUUCUGGAGAAGUGGAAAGCUUUGCUGACCACUGAGCACCUGUGACUCUCCACUCAGGAAAGGCCCUCUUUUCUUGCGAGAUGGUGGAAAAGUACACAGAGCUGGUAGGGUGUGAUGGGAGUCAUAUUCCAACAAAAACCUGGAAGGUCGCAGCUUCCGCAGCCCUGACAAAGAGACUAGUCCUCAAGCAAACGGCAGCAGCGGUGGCGUGCGGUUCACAAUUCCACUGCCCCUUUGACACAUGUCUUUUAGCAAGGGGAACGAAACCCUAGUAGUAGCUUAGUAGCGGUUAGGGGUACAGGCUGAAGUUUCUAGUAGAUUUUAAGUUUGUAGGGUAUAAAUCCGUAGCAUGUACACGUUCCUUGCCACUUCUAGCAGGAGGGAGGUGGGUUUGAAGGGCGAAGAGUACGAAAUGCGAUGCUGACGAAUGCUGAUUUGUAUAUAUGCAGAGAGUUUUAAACUUAAGAUUUCUCUUCUCCCCCACUGCCCAGCCUCUGUGUCAGCAAUUCUUCCAGGAGUGGCUCCAUGUUUUGGGAUUAGCUUUGCCCUAGGAUAGGGAAAUUUGUCAUUAGAAAGACGUAUGACUCACAUAGCUAUUAGAUUUUUUUCGUUCCUAGGUAGCUUAGGGGUUCUACGAUGAUCAGAUUUGGUUUGUUUUCCCAAUCCAAGAAUUUUAGAGAAAAUGUUUUUAUGGACAUGUAAGAAACACUGAUUAUAACAAAUAAAAAGGAAUUCUUAAAAAAUG
This is a long non-coding RNA of Podarcis raffonei (Aeolian wall lizard), 1512 nucleotides long. RefSeq lists it as uncharacterized. The record is from RefSeq and is a predicted model, not a curated record. The transcript has 2 exons. NCBI's taxonomy places the organism in Eukaryota, Metazoa, Chordata, Lepidosauria, Squamata, Lacertidae.